GAUGAACGCUGGCGGCGUGCCUAAUACAUGCAAGUCGAGCGAACAGACGAGGAGCUUGCUCCUCUGACGUUAGCGGCGGACGGGUGAGUAACACGUGGAUAACCUACCUAUAAGACUGGGAUAACUUCGGGAAACCGGAGCUAAUACCGGAUAAUAUAUUGAACCGCAUGGUUCAAUAGUGAAAGACGGUUUUGCUGUCACUUAUAGAUGGAUCCGCGCCGCAUUAGCUAGUUGGUAAGGUAACGGCUUACCAAGGCAACGAUGCGUAGCCGACCUGAGAGGGUGAUCGGCCACACUGGAACUGAGACACGGUCCAGACUCCUACGGGAGGCAGCUGUAGGGAAUCUUCCGCAAUGGGCGAAAGCCUGACGGAGCAACGCCGCGUGAGUGACGAAGGUCUUCGGAUCGUAAAACUCUGUUAUUAGGGAAGAACAAAUGUGUAAGUAACUAUGCACGUCUUGACGGUACCUAAUCAGAAAGCCACGGCUAACUACGUG
Molecule: ribosomal RNA, 497 nt
Filed under: uncultured bacterium
Lineage: Bacteria
Description: partial 16S ribosomal RNA
Rfam family: Bacterial small subunit ribosomal RNA
Source: RNAcentral